UACGUAGGGUGCGAGCGUUAAUCGGAAUUACUGGGCGUAAAGGGCGCGUAGGCGGCCUUCUAAGUCGAACGUGAAAUCCCCGGGCUCAACCCGGGAACUGCGUCCGAUACUGGAAGGCUUGAAUCCGGGAGAGGGAUGCGGAAUUCCAGGUGUAGCGGUGAAAUGCGUAGAUAUCGAGAGGAACACCUGCGGCGAAGGCGGGUAGCUGGGCCGACACUGACGCUGAGGCGCGAAAGCCAGGGGAGCGAACGGG
Molecule: ribosomal RNA, 253 nt
Filed under: uncultured bacterium
Lineage: Bacteria
Description: partial 16S ribosomal RNA
Rfam family: Bacterial small subunit ribosomal RNA
Source: RNAcentral